GAUACCUCAAAUGUCAGAAGCUAGAUGUCUUUUCUUUGGGGCUUGUCAGUUUCUCAUGAGAAAUAUCUUAUAAUCUCUUGCCUGAGGAGGCAUUCACUUGGCUGCCAGUGUUCUGGAAGUAGUUCAGGGGAAGAGGUCUGGAUGAGUAACUGCUUAGGGUGCAAUCUUUCACACUCUUUCCUUUCCGGCAGUUGCCUUAUUCCUGCCCUUCUUUGUGCCUGCUGGACAAGCCUCUCUCCUCUUUCUCAUGCUGACUGCGAGGAGUGGGACAGGGCACCUGAGACUCCAGCAACUCCAAGUGCCAACAUUGACCUGGCCUCUUGCUUUUAGCUGCUCACCUCUCCCUCACCCUUCCGGGAUCCUGGGGCCCCUCAUCAGCAUUUUCUUCUAGUGAUCUCUGUCAUCUCCAAGGCCCAGACCACUCUAGGGUUUUGUAGGGAAUUGGGCUCUUUCUGUACUGACCACUAUGGCCAUAUUAGAGUGUAGCUUUCACUGUUCUGUUAAACUAGUUUUCACUCCUCCAUCGACCCUCUCUAUUCUUCAGAAUUGUGUUGAAAUAUAGCUUUUGCUGAUGACUCCUCCUCUAUCUUCUUUGCCCCUUUGGAUUUAUCCCUUCAUGUUCUUUUACUAUCCUUUUCAGGGGAGAAUGAAGAUAAAUAUGUGUGUUUAAUCGUUUAAUCUGAAGUCCGUUUCCAAAAUUAUACAAAAGAUUUUACCAAACUGUCCCAAAUUGUCUGUGCAAAGAAACCCAGUGUUUAUGGUUAAACCAUUCCUUUUGUUGGUUUAUGAUAGUCAAGAAUCUUUUCUUCUUCUUUGGUAUCUAAUAACUCAACUUUGUUCAGAUAGCUUGUUGUCCCCCUACUGGCUAACUACUGCUGUAUUCAUUGGUUAGAUUAGCAAAGGAAAAUGUUCGAAAGGACCAUUUUAAAUUGUCAACCAUGAAAUUACCUGUUACCCAAAUAUUUUGAUUCCUUUGGCAGAAGAGUAGUAUAUAAAUAUGAAAGUUUCUGCCACGCUCACCAUGAGACUCUACUACUCUGUCUCCAAAUAUCUUUAUUCAUAAACACUUAAGUACAGCAGUGGUUCCCAAAGUGUGGUCCCUGGAUGGACUGUCAACAUCAGAUCCCCUGGGAAAUUGUUAGGAAUGCAGAUUCACCAACUCACUCCAGACCCAUGGAAUCAGAAAUUCAAAGAACCUGUGUUUCUAACAAGCCUAUAGGUGGUUCUGAUGCGUCUUAAAAUUUGAGAAACACAGUACAGUAUUCUGACAGCAUAAAGUUGC
Molecule: long non-coding RNA, 1282 nt
Filed under: Homo sapiens (human)
Lineage: Eukaryota; Metazoa; Chordata; Mammalia; Primates; Hominidae
Description: non-protein coding lnc-NCALD-4:1
Source: RNAcentral